GUUGUGGCUCAGAGGUAGAGUACUCGCCUAGCAUGUGUGAGGCACUGGGUUCGAUCCUCAGCACAACG
This 68-nucleotide transfer RNA is filed under the name Marmota monax (woodchuck). It matches the Rfam family "tRNA". From Rfam's summary of the family: Transfer RNA (tRNA) molecules are approximately 80 nucleotides in length. The record is from Rfam by way of RNAcentral. Lineage: Eukaryota; Metazoa; Chordata; Mammalia; Rodentia; Sciuridae.